AUGGUGAAGGGACGCACCGGCCAGCGCGUGAGGCUCUACGUCCGCGGCACCAUCCUCGGAUACAAGAGGUCCAAGUCGAACCAGUACGAGACAGCGUCGCUGGUGCAGAUCGAGGGGGUGAACACCAGGGAGGACGUGGCCUGGUACGGCGGCAAGAGGAUGGCCUACGUCUACAAGGCCAAGACCAAGAGCAACGGCACCCACUACCGCUGCAUCUGGGGCAAGGUCUCCCGCCCCCACGGCAACACCGGCGUCGUCCGCGCCAAGUUCACCUCCAACCUGCCCGCCGAGGCCAUGGGGAAAAAGGUCAGGAUCUUCAUGUACCCGAGCAGCAUCUAA
RNAcentral lists this ribosomal RNA (339 nucleotides) under Triticum aestivum (bread wheat). RNAcentral's name for it is "partial small subunit ribosomal RNA". The record is from RNAcentral. Lineage: Eukaryota; Viridiplantae; Streptophyta; Magnoliopsida; Poales; Poaceae.